UACGUAGGGUGCGAGCGUUGUCCGGAAUGACUGGGCGUAAAGGGCGCGUAGGCGGUUUGUACAGUCAGAUGUGAAAUUCCCGGGCUCAACCUGGGGGCUGCAUUUGAUACGUGCGGACUUGAGUGGGGAAGAGGGUCGUGGAAUUCCCAGUGUAGAGGUGAAAUUCGUAGAUAUUGGGAAGAACACCGGUGGCGAAGGCGGCGACCUGGUCCUUGACUGACGCUGAGGCGCGAAAGCGUGGGGAGCAAACAGG
Molecule: ribosomal RNA, 253 nt
Filed under: uncultured bacterium
Lineage: Bacteria
Description: partial 16S ribosomal RNA
Rfam family: Bacterial small subunit ribosomal RNA
Source: RNAcentral